Non-coding RNA from Drosophila virilis, 934 nucleotides. NCBI's taxonomy places the organism in Eukaryota, Metazoa, Arthropoda, Insecta, Diptera, Drosophilidae. The record is from RefSeq and is a predicted model, not a curated record.
CGAAAGGCUGGCAACGCUUAUUUUUUUAGAUUAUUGUUGCCACAUUUGCGGGUUGCUUGGCUCAUUUGCUGGCCGGAAAGCGAAUUGAAAGCAUCUUUCAGCCAAAUCAACAACAGCAAACCGUAAGCAAACAAAUAAACUCAUUACAAAGUAUAUCCACUGGCGAUUCGAUGAUUUUAAAAUUCAGCACAGCAAAAGGCAACUUUUAACUGCAGCUUAGCAGUAGCUGAAGUAGCAGCAGCAGCAGCGGCUACGCUUAAUUAAAUGCCCAACAAGCAGCAAAUUAAAUAAAUACGCACUGCACACUGCGCCAACUCUGGGUAAAUAGCGGCUGCUCUGGCAGCUCAGAGCCAACCUUUGUUCUUCAUUGACAAUGCAGCGGGACUAAUCAGUUGAGAAAAUGGCGAGAUGCUGCGGCAGCAGCCAACAAAAGGCCAAGCGGACCCUUUGGGCCAUUAAUUAGCUGGCACAAACAAAAGAAAAACUUGCCGAGCAUAGCUCAAAACGAACGUUAAGCGAAAAUGAAACCCAAACAACGUGAGGUCAACUCUGCCAAUACAAUGUAUAAAUAAUUGUUGCCCAACUCCCACUCUCCAUCUCGACAAAGUACAUCACAUAUCAACGCCUUUUUCAUACCCUGCAGACUUUUCGUUAGGGCAUCAAUCAAGCAUAAACUGCUCCCACUUUAUGGCCCGCCAAUUAAUCGCAAUCGUAUUAAGAUUGAUCAUCAGCAGCAUCCGUGAGUGACACGCAACAGCCUAAGGUUCUUAAACGCGCUGACAAGACGCAUAUUACGUUAAGCACCGGCAAAAGAGUUAACCGCAGGCAUGCAGAAUGCGCUUUAUGCAUUAAUAUGAAUGCUUAAAGUACUUCAUUAAAAUAGGUUAAAUUAUGACCCCAAAGGCUGUGCGACAUUCAGAUAUUUAAAUAUAUA